Molecule: long non-coding RNA, 453 nt
Filed under: Malus domestica (apple)
Lineage: Eukaryota; Viridiplantae; Streptophyta; Magnoliopsida; Rosales; Rosaceae
Description: long non-coding RNA (MDOM_LNC013270)
Source: RNAcentral
UGGAUAGUAGACAUGAUACAAACUAUCACUCAAACAAUGUGAUUAAGAGUAUUGUAUUAGAGAAAGACCGUAUUGCAUUGUAAUUGUAACUAGAUAGGUUCUCUAACCAAUUCUAUUUAGCUUGGGUAGCCAUGACACGCUGCUAGGUGUCACUCAUGGUUUGUGGAAGCCUUGAAGAUUAGCAAACACUAAUCUUAAUCAAAGGGAGAAUUGAAAUGUAGUUUCAAUUCACAAUCGAUCGUUAAGAGUAACAAUCGCCCACUGUCUCGCUAAUUGGAACCUAAUGGAUCGUACACCGAGUAAGGAUGAAAGUGAAGAAAUAUAAAUGAAAUGGAUAAGCAAUUAAAUGGUUUGAUUGAAAUAUGGUCAAGGUUAAUUAAAUAGUUAAUUAAUUAUACGAAAGGUUCGUAUUGGGCUUUUAAGUUAGUUUUAGGCUUCGGGGUCCAAAAGGGU